GUCUAUGGCCAUACCACCCCGAACGCGCCCGAUCUCAUCUGAUCUCAGAAUCCAAGCAGGGUCGGGCCCGGUUAGUGCCUGGAUGGGAGGGACGACCGGGGAAACGCAGACA
Molecule: ribosomal RNA, 112 nt
Filed under: Propithecus coquereli (Coquerel's sifaka)
Lineage: Eukaryota; Metazoa; Chordata; Mammalia; Primates; Indriidae
Source: RNAcentral